RNAcentral lists this ribosomal RNA (294 nucleotides) under uncultured bacterium. RNAcentral's name for it is "partial 16S ribosomal RNA". It matches the Rfam family "Bacterial small subunit ribosomal RNA", at positions 775 to 1067 of the family's 1533-position model. The record is from RNAcentral.
GGAUUAGAUACCCUGGUAGUCCACGCCGUAAACGAUGAAUGCUAGCUGUUAUGGGUAUCGACCCCCGUAGUAGCGAAGCUAACGCGUUAAGCAUUCCGCCUGUGGAGUACGGUCGCAAGACUAAAACAUAAAGGAAUUGACGGGGACCCGCACAAGCGGUGGAGCGUGUUGUUUAAUUCGAUGGUAAACGAAGAACCUUACCCAGGCUUGACAUCCUCGGAAUUUUGUCGAAAGACGAGAGUGCCUUUGGGAGCCGAGUGACAGGUGUUGCAUGGCCGUCGUCAGCUCGUGCCG